UUACACUCAACCCUGAUCUCAGAAUUUUGAAGACUUAAAACACAAUUUGAACAUAAACAUGAAUACAACAAACUUUAAAGGAAAAAAAAAAUAGUUGAGUGUAUAAUUCUCCACUUUAUUCUUAUGAAUAAACACCUCAAAAUUGCUACUUAGUAUUGCCGAAAUGCCCUGCAUGUUAUCCAUAUAAGAUAAACACUUAGAAAAUCAAGAGUGAUAUAUGUUUCACAUCACUUAAAGUGUAUAACAAUAUCAAUGUAUAAAAUAAGCACACAAAGAUACAUUCAGAACAAUUGCUCUAGUCAUGGUUUAUAUUCAACUUACGAAGAAUAAAUUUUCCUUACUUUAAUACGUCUUGUCACAAUAAUAGGUUCGCAUAUUCUAUUACAUAAUAAUCAUGUUUCAAUCAUUUUAUUUUUAACCUCAUUGUAUUCCUAUGUAUCAUACUUUCUACUUGACUAAUAGUUUAUCGUUUGCAAAAAAAAAAAAAAAAAUCUUAGUGGUCUAUCACUAGUUUAUAAUCACCAGGUCUUUAUAUAAGAUUAAAAUCAAAGAUACUCACAUGAUAGUUUAAUCAUACAAUAUAACUUAACACACACUUUGAGAGAACUAAUGUAGGCUUAAUUUCAUUACAAUAACAAUAAAAUAUGGAUAUUUUUUAGCACAAUAUUUUCCAUUAUAUUGAAAUUCCUAUUUCAUCUCCUUUAAAUUCACCACAUAAAAUAAAUAUUAUAAUUCACAUAAAUUCAUCACCUAUAUCACACUAGGAAAUCUAAUCAUCAUAUAUUACCUAGGUAAAAUUUAUCAAAUAAUCCUACAAUCCUAAACAUGUUGAAUUUAACUAAACUUUAAAUAUUUAAUAAUUGAUAAUAACCAUGAACAAUUUAUUUAAAAUGUCAAAACCACAAAGCAUGGAUGAAACUAGGAUCAGGGCCAUACCCUUCAUCCAGUACAAUUGGUGUAUUCACUAGGCGAAAUAAUAUCUCUUUUACCUAAAUGAAGAUAGUAAUACCCCUUUUAAUCAAUUUAUCCCUUCUUUUAAAUUCCUAAUGAUUUGGAGAUUUUUUCACAAUAAAGUCUGAUUAAGGAAAAUUUACGUUGUAUUGGUUUCUAUAUGGUUCUCAAGUGUAAUUUUGUUUUCAAGAUUUUUUCACAACUUAUAUUAAUGUUCUGAUGCAUAUCUAUAAAAAAUUUGGUAACCACGACGUAAGAUUGUAAUUAUUGUUGCGAUUAUGAUUUUUUUUCAAUGUUAUCUAGUUUUGCAAAAACACUAAUUUGUUUGACAACAAGAAUAUGUGUUUUAGUCCAUCUUCUAAUUUGGUGUGCUAGAAUACUUUUCUUGUUGUUUAACAUACCAAGUGCUUUUCUUACACUUCUAUGUAUCAAUUUGUAAUUGUUAUGGAAUGUUUAGCUCAAAUUCAUUCACCUAUUGCCCCUUGUAUAAGUAAGUUCUUCGACAUCCUCUUGUGUUUUUUUUUUUUUUUUUUUUUUGCGUUAAGUGUAACAUUGAUGGCAUUGAUAAAGUCUUCACAUGAUCACUUGCUUCUAAAGGAGUUUUUAAACGUAAAAAAGUAUACUUCAAAGCUUUGUUUCCUUGAACUUAAACAUUAGUACUAAUUUUCAAAACGAGCUCCAUGGUGAUAUCAUUUAUGUUCACAUUGCAUCUAAUAAAAUUGGCAUUGUCUUUAUUUGGAGACUGACCAAAAGAUUGUUAAUUUGACUUUCAAAAAUCAAGUCACUGUUUCAUGGACUCAAAGAAACAUGUGGUUGAAUUUUAUUGAUCUAUAAAAGAACAUAAAUUUAUGUUUAGAUAAAAUCUCAUCAAUUGGUUUUUAACAUACAAAUUUAGUGUAGUUGGAUGACAUUCCUUCUAGUAUUUUGGAUCCAUAUACCAGUAAUAGAUUAGGAUUUUUUAAGUUUAUUUUUCUUUUAUGGAUGAUUUGUCAUGGAUUUUCUAUUUCAUGUGCUGUUUAUUUUCUUUACACUCCUUCCCUUUCUCAGGACUUAUCCCAUUCAGUUUUCUUAAGAAAGUAUAUAAUGAGGGCUUUAUGUCUAGAAUAUAAAGGACGGUUUACUGGUGUUGGUUUAAGAAAAUGUAUUGUUAGAUAUAAGGGUUUUAAAGAUAAUCCAGACUUGAUGUUAUUAUAAAAAUAUUGGAAGGACUUGGAUAAAGGGUGUGACAAUAGUCUAAGGUUAUUGAGUAAAUUAAUGUUUGAGAUAUUAUUAAUAGGGAUGUGCAGAAACAUGUGACCCGCCUGAAAACCGAGGAACCCGAUAGUGGAAAAAACAAACUCGGUGGGUUGAAAGGGGAUCAAACGGGUUACAAUAUUCAAUCUCAAACAGUGGUUAACGGAUAGACGCAGGUUUGGAAAAUUUGAUCAAUCGAUAUCCACAACCGACCGAAUACAUGGGUGAUUAUAAAAGCAUGCCUUGUUCAAUCAUAGUUUUUAUAAAAGCAUGCCUAUUUAUCUAAACCUGUAAACCACACCUACUUCUUUUUCUUCAUAUCUACAAAAGCACUGUAUCCAUAGAAUUAAAGCACCCAUUACUGAGUAUAUCUAUGACACGUUUAAUUAGAGUCAAAGUGAAAAUGACAUGUUCAACUUUUCAUUACACUACCAUAUUAAAAAUUAAUACUUAAUUCAUCUUGUUCUUUUAUACAUAUUUGAAGCCAUGUUGAGAUAAAGUUAUCUGAACUUCUUUUUCUCCCUUCACAACCUUUCCUUCUUCGUGAUCUCUCUAUGAAGCACCUCUUCCUUUAUUUUCCAUUCUUAUAAAAAAGGUUGUUGUGCAGAAAGCUUAAACCAAUACUUUCUAUUGAGUUCAUGCUCUCUCUUUCUAUAAGCAUUCUGUUUUUUCUUCUAUAUGAUCUCAGAGAUGAAGAUAAUGCAUCAUCACUUCUCUAUUUUUGUUUUAGUUAAAUCCCGAAUAAACCCACCCGUAGAAAUCCGUGAUCCGCACAGCCCAUAACCCGUCAAAGCCGAAGCUUGAAAUUGUCAUAAUUGGUUUUGAGUUUUGCACUCUAGGUUUGAUUCGGGUGAGCCAUUUUUGACCCAAACCCGACCGAACCCGUACGGUGCUCAACCCUAAUUAUUAAGUUAUAAGAUGGUAUAUGAAAUAAUUGUGCAUAUGAUUUGAGUUUCCACAACCUAAAAGGAUUAUUGACUAAGAGGCUCAUAUAGUUAGUUUUUGUAAGUGAUAUAUAUGUUCAAUUUUAUGUGUAUCAGCACACUUGUUUCUUAUUUCCUAGUCAUUUAGAAUGAUGUUAUUAUGAUUAUUAUUGUUAACAUGUCUAUACGACACUUAUGUAGGUUAUUAUUUGCUUGAGAAAUGUAUUAUUAUGAUUAUUAUUAUUAUUAUUAUUAUUACGUACAUAAAUGGAUAAAACUGUAGUAGGUUAUCCUAAUAUUAAAUAUUGGUGACAUUUAACAUCUAGACUCCAUGAUAAGUUAUGCUGCAUUUUAGAAGAGUUUAUGACAAAAUUGUGGAAUCAAUGUUAGAUAGUAUCAAUACUAGCAUAAAGUUUAGAAUAAAUUAAGUAGUUAGGAACUGAUCAGAAAAUUUAUUAAGUCAUUUGUAUUAUGUAUUAUGUAUUUUGAAUAUUGUCAUGACAAGUACCUUGUGGUUUCUUAUAUAUUUGUAGACACCUUUCUACUUGUUAUAAAUAAAUAUUUAUGCACUUAAAACACAUCUAUAUAAUUAUUCCAUGGUAUUUAAGUUUAAAUUCCUUCGUAUUUUUCUCCUUAUGUAAGCAAGUUAGAUUAACUAAUUUAUUUUCCAUUGGAACAUUUGGUUUUCUCAAACAGAAUCUAAUCAAAAGGAAUGCUAUGAUUGACUCAAAGAUGUGAUUUUACUUACUUAUAUUCCUUUUUAUGAUGUUUCUAGAAUCUUAUCUCAUUUAUGUUACGCCUCAUAUGUUCUCUUUUCUAUUAGAUCUCAACCAUGAACAGUCUAUGGUUGUAGAUAGAGUGCUUCAUUGAUUUCUUUUUCAACUAACGGUAGAUGUGUGAUAACCGGCAAAUAAGUUGGUUAUCACGUUGCACUUAGCCCGUGUAACGCUUUAAUUGUUAUUUAAUUAUUUUUAGUUGAUUUAAAGUUUUUUAUAUGAUUUUAAAUGAUUUAUGUUGAUUUUGAGGUGUGAUGUAUUUUAUUAAAUGACAAUUUUCAUUAUUUAAUAGAAUAAGUGAGAAUUAGGAUUUAAUUGGAGUUUUGGGGUUAAAUGAGAAUUAAGUGAAUUAAGUGGGAGUUAAUUAAAUAUUGGAAGGUUAUAUUUAUUGAAAAAAAUUAGAAAAUAUAAGUCAGAAGCAGUUUUCACGUACAACAGAGUUUUGGGAGAAAAACCGAGAAGAGCCAAGUGGGAGAAUCAGAUUCCGUAGAGCUUUGUUCAUCGAUCUAAGGUAAGGGUGGGACUAACUUUCUCUAAUAAUGAGUUGUAUAAUUUUGAAAAAGGGUUUAACAUCGUUGGUGUUGUUUUGUUAAUUUUGAUUGUUGAAAAAUUAAGUUUUGAAACUAAAAUUGAUUGUUGAAAGAGUAGGUAACCAUUGAAUUAACGUAAGGGGGGAGUCUCUAUUCAUCAUAAGGGUUGUAUGAACAUGUGGGUAGCGAAGGGUUUGUGUUAUUCCUUUUCAUAUCUUUUAACAAGUUCAUGUUAAAUUUGUGUUCUCAUAUGUUGUUGUGAUUAUAUGUUUAAUGUUGUUGUGAUUAUAUGUUUAAUUGUCGUUUCUAAAUUGUGAUGUUUCAUAUUAAAUUCAUGAUUAAUAAUGAUUAUUUGUGUAUUUUUGGAAUAGUGAUCGAUCAUAUUGUUGUUUUGUGCGUGAGACAUUGGUGAAUUUUAUUGUUCCAUUGAAUCAUAUAAAUUCAAAAAUUCUCUUGCUUCGUUUAUAAUUGUCUUGAUUCUGUAAUAUAUGAUGCUUCGUAGGAACAUGUGACUUCUAUUAUUAAUGUGUUUUGUGUGAAUCUUCUCAUAUUAAUCAUGGGGCUUUUGGGGACGGAGGGUUUACACAUGGUUAGAUAAUAUAAAAGCUAAUUUCACAACCUUAAAGGAGUAUCAUGUUAUCUAGUAUAAUAGGUAGUUGGAGUCCCUUUUGCUGUUAAAAACUCCUAGACAAUAUAAUUAAAUUCACUCAAUGGUUUUUCCUAUUUAUCCCACACUUUUAUUUAAUUUUCUUAAAAUUUAGAUAGGUGAUUCUUUUACUAACAAAAAGGAAUAUAUAAGUCUCAUAUGUAUGAUCCGUUUUUACUUAUGGUUAUAGGCUUAGAUCUUUGUGCGUCGUAGUUACAGUGCUUGAUUAUUUUCUUAUAUAAAAAGAAAGAAAAGAGAAUUCACAAGGAUCGUUAAGAACGAGAAAAUGUAGGUGGAAUAGGUACUUUAGAUUAGAAUUUUAACAGAAUGAAACAUUCAAUUUCCUGUUUAUUACAAGGUAUAUUUAAUAAUGAUGAAUUAUUUGAUAAGGUGUGCUAAUGAAUUGAUUGAUGAAUUAUUAUAUGAAUAUUUUUUAUUGAUGAAUUAUUAUAUUAUGAUGCAAAGUCGUUGUUGUUGUUGUUGCCGCUGUUGUCGUCAAUGUCGUUAAAGUAGUAAGUUGCUGUUCUAAGUUGUUGAAGUUCUCCUAAGUGGUUAAUGUUGUCUAAAUUGUUGAAGUCGUAGUUGAAGUAGUUGUUAUUGGUGACAUUUUUAUGUUCAAGUGUUUGUGAGAGGUGGUGUACUCUUACUUGUCGUUUUUAUAAGAGGUGGUGUACUCUUACUUUGUCGUUUAUAAGAGACGGUGUACUCUUACUUGUCGUUUUUAUAAGAGGUGGUGUACUCUUACUUGUCAUUUUUAUAAGAGGUGAUGUACUCUUACUUUGUCGUUUUAUAAGAGGUGGUGUACUCUUACUUGUUAUUUUUAUAAGAGGUGGUGUACUCUUACUUGUCAUUUUUAUAAGAGGUGGUGUACUCUUACUUUGUCGUUUUAUAAGAGGUGGUGUACUCUUACUUGUUGUUUUUAUAAGAGGUGGUGUACUCUUACUUUGUCGUUUUUAUAAGAGGUGGUGUAUUCUUACGUUGUUGUGUUAUAAGAGGUUGUGUACUCUUACGUUGUUGAGUUAUGAGAGGUGGUGUACUCUCACGUUGUUUAUGUUGUUGAAUAUGAGGUUGUUAUGAUGUUAAAUGAUGAGGAUUAUGAUUAAGAUGUUGAUUAUGAUGUUAAAUGAUGCUGUUAUUAUGUUGUUUAUGAUAUCGAGUUAUGACUGUUGAUAUGGUUUAUGAGUCGUUUAAAGAAUUAUUAUUACUAAUUGAUGGAGUUUAAGUUGUUAGAUGCAUUUGAUGAAUUAAAUGCUUAUUAUUAUUGUUUGUGAAAUCUCACCCCUUCUGCUUGAAAAUGUUGCCCUUCGUAUGGGUAACUUGCAGGUAAUAAAGAUUAGUAGGAGUGGUGGCUCAAGUGUCUUAGGGCUCUGAUACGUAACGGGAUGGGAAAUUGUUGCUAUAUUUAUCAUUCCUUUAUGUAUCAAUUUUGGAACAUGUUGUUGAAGAUUUUAUUAUCGUUGAAUUAAUUCCGCUGCAAAGUUUUAAUUAUUAAGUUGUUGAAAUUUGAAGGAUAAUUAUUUAAUUAUUCCAUUUAUGAUUUUUAAGAAAAUAAGUGUAACAUUCCGUUUAAGGUGUUUUACUCUGAUUAAUUUAUGAAAUUUUUAUGUUGGGAAAACGGGGUGUUACAUAAUGGAAAAGUAAUUUAGUGAUUGCAAUACCUUAAACAUCUUAUCAGUGUCUAUUUUAGGAUUUUAUAGUUUUAAGUAUUUUUAGUACUUUGGAACUAGUAAUUCUUGUUUAUGAUAUUUGAUGAUGUAAGUUAAGGAAUGACUCUAAAGAUGUGGGAAGCUGCAACAUGGAUUGAAAAUGUAUCGCUGAAGAUGUGGAAAGUUGCAAUAUCUUGGGACUCUAGCCGGGUCGUACAUAGUACGAGUACGUGGGUCCAAUUUGUCCAUUUCUUAAUAAGGAAGAAUAUGAGUUGUCCCCAAUUAUUGGAAUCCUAGGAAGAAUAAAGGAAUUUGUCAAUGGGUAGGUAGGAUCGGAUAAGGACGGAUGGAUAAGGACAACCCAUGUAAAAUGACCAAAGAGUACAACUUGUAGAAAGUGGCCUUGUACUAUAAAUGGACACACAUGUGUUAGUGCAAAGGGUCCGAAAAUUUACCUUAGAAUUGGAGAGCCCAAGUUAUGGCUAGGGUUAGAAGUUUUAGAGAUCCAAUUCCAUUUUAUCUCUUCCGUAGAUGAGUAUGGUAGCUAGAUUAUAGUAGAUUACUUGGUGAUGCUUUGGCUCACCUUAUUCCUUCAAGGAUUGUAAUCUUAUGACAACUCUAUCUAAUCUAUCAAUUUAGUUUUCUAUGUUUUCAUUUAUGUUCAUCUUAAUUUCCAUUUCAAUGGUUCAACUCACCUUGAACUAAACCUCUUCUAGUGGUUUAGACAUGGUGAGAUUAUGAUUUAUUUAUUUACUUGUGAUAUAUAAAGUUGUAGUGCCGUGCUUUACUAUACCAAACUGUUUUAACUCAAAAUCUUUAGAAAUAACAUUUUGAUCACUUUUAUUUCUAAUGUUAUAGGUCCUUGAUCCCGACAUGGUAUGGGAGUGGAAAAUAUUUGUUAGACUUGGUUUUGGCCUUAAGCACCACACCAGUGAAAGGAUCAAGAAGGUCUACUUGAGUUGAUUAUCUUGAACAUAAAAGAGCCUUGAAGUUAUAGCUCUGUGAAUCUCAAUUCACUUAAGAGGUUAAUAAAUGGCCAUAGUGCUAAGUCACAAAAUUUAUACCACGCUAUUUCUAAGCGCUAUGUCCUCGGUAGGAAUCUUUUCAUAUGGUACAUAGGACCGAUAGCUUCAUACCUUAGGCAGGAAUGACCGGACACCUGAACCUAGCAAAUGUUGCAUGUUAAGUCUAGCGAUCGAGCCUGAGUGUCAUCCCGACCUUAACAUGAUGGAUGAGGAAACACUCCCUAAGACCAAUUGGUUCGCUAGGAAGCCGAUUAAUUAGAGAUAUAGCUCUAUGGAUCACAGAGUUGCGAGCGACUAAUAAACAGUUGUAGUCCUGUGAGAUAUUGAAGCUAUAUAAGGAUAUAGCCCUGUGUAUCGCAGAGACUAAAUUUGCUUUGAACCGGCUAUAGCUCUAAGAGACACUUGAAGUUAUACCUAAGUUAUAGCUAUGUAAAUCGCAGUAAUGUUUUAUCAUAGCUGAACCUAGAUCUAAACUACAAUUUUCAUCUUGAGAUUUUCUAAAGACUUUAACUGCAUUCCGAAACUUAACCUUUUACUUUUAAUGUUGUGACAAAUAUUUUAUUUUAUUUUUUACCAAACAAGUUUUCCGUUGAAAAGCUACGCAGAGCUAUA
Molecule: long non-coding RNA, 8342 nt
Filed under: Medicago truncatula (barrel medic)
Lineage: Eukaryota; Viridiplantae; Streptophyta; Magnoliopsida; Fabales; Fabaceae
Description: long non-coding RNA (MTRU_LNC005014)
Source: RNAcentral